RNAcentral lists this ribosomal RNA (497 nucleotides) under uncultured bacterium. RNAcentral describes it as "partial 16S ribosomal RNA". It matches the Rfam family "Bacterial small subunit ribosomal RNA", at positions 28 to 507 of the family's 1533-position model. The record is from RNAcentral.
GAUGAACGCUGGCGGCGUGCCUAAUACAUGCAAGUCGAGCGAACAGACGAGGAGCUUGCUCCUCUGACGUUAGCGGCGGACGGGUGAGUAACACGUGGAUAACCUACCUAUAAGACUGGGAUAACUUCGGGAAACAGGAGCUAAUACCGGAUAAUAUAUUGAACCGCAUGGUUCAAUAGUGAAAGACGGUUUUGCUGUCACUUAUAGAUGGAUCCGCGCCGCAUUAGCUAGUUGGUAAGGUAACGGCUUACCAAGGCAACGAUGCUUAGCCGACCUGAGAGGGUGAUCGGCCACACUGGAACUGAGACACGGUCCAGACUCCUACGGGAGGCAGCAGUAUGGAAUCUUCCGCAAUGGGCGAAAGCCUGACGGAGCAACGCCGCGUGAGUGAUGAAGGUCUUCUGAUCGUAAAACUCUGUUAUUAGUGAAGAACAAAUGUGUAAGUAACUAUGCACUUCUUGACGGUACCUAAUCAGAAAGCCACGGCUAACUACGUG